Molecule: long non-coding RNA, 419 nt
Organism: Peromyscus eremicus (cactus mouse)
Lineage: Eukaryota; Metazoa; Chordata; Mammalia; Rodentia; Cricetidae
Exons: 3
Source: RefSeq, a predicted model, not a curated record
UGCUUGUCCCUUUACAGACCACAUUCAUCACUUGAGGUAUGUCAUCCUAUCCAACCUGCCUCUUCCUGCUUCAGACUGAAGGCACAGAGAUAACUCAGUCUCAAACCUUCAGCUACCUGGGAUUUGAAGAAUAGCCAAACCUGGAUGGACAGACCAACCUUCAGAGAAGGGUUCUUUGAUGUGUAAGCAAGUAAUUCAUGCUGAACAGCUAGUAAGAAUUUUCCUCGGCUAGAUGACAAGGACAGAAGAGCAGAUUUGUGAAUGAAGGAUAACAUGAAGCAAGCAGGCAGGAACAGUAGUCAUCACUGUUAUUAUUUUGACUGCUGAUCAUGGAGGCUCAAGAGAUUAAUUCUUAAAAACAACCCUAUCAGGUGUUGAUGGUUAUUUCCAUUAUAUGGAUGGACAUAGAGGUUGAUAAU